RNAcentral lists this ribosomal RNA (515 nucleotides) under uncultured bacterium. Its description in RNAcentral is "partial 16S ribosomal RNA". It matches the Rfam family "Bacterial small subunit ribosomal RNA", at positions 28 to 523 of the family's 1533-position model. The record is from RNAcentral.
GACGAACGCUGGCGGCGUGCCUAAUACAUGCAAGUCGAGCGAUGAUUAAAGAUAGCUUGCUAUUUUUAUGAAGAGCGGCGAACGGGUGAGUAACGCGUGGGAAAUCUGCCGAGUAGCAGGGGACAACGUUUGGAAACGAACGCUAAUACCGCAUAACAAUGAGAAUCGCAUGACUCUUAUUUGAAAGAAGCAAUUGCUUCACUACUUGAUGAUCCCGCGUUGUAUUAGCUAGUUGGUAGUGUAAAGGACUACCAAGGCGAUGAUACAUAGCCGACCUGAGAGGGGGAUCGGCCACACUGGGACUGAGACACGGCCCAGACUCCUACGGGAGGCAGCAGUAGGGAAUCUUCGGCAAUGGGGGCAACCCUGACCGAGCAACGCCGCGUGAGUGAAGAAGGUUUUCGGAUCGUAAAACUCUGUUGUUAGAGAAGAACGUUAAGUAGAGUGGAAAAUUACUUAAGUGACGGUAUCUAACCAGAAAGGGACGGCUAACUACGUGCCAGCCGCCGCUGUAA